RNAcentral lists this ribosomal RNA (256 nucleotides) under uncultured bacterium. RNAcentral describes it as "partial 16S ribosomal RNA". It matches the Rfam family "Bacterial small subunit ribosomal RNA", at positions 524 to 776 of the family's 1533-position model. The record is from RNAcentral.
UACGUAGGGUCCGAGCGUUGUCCGGAAUCACUGGGCGUAAAGCGCGCGCAGGCGGUCUUUCACGUCCGGGGUGAAAGCCCAGAGCUCAACUCUGGGAUUGCCUUGGAUACGGGGAGACUUUGAGGAUCGGAGAGGCAAGGGGGAAUUCCACGUGUAGCGGUGAAAUGCGUAGAGAUGUGGAGGAACACCUGUGGCGAAGGCGCCUUGCUGGCCGAUUUCUGACGCUGGAGGCGCGAAAGCGUGGGGAGCAAACAGG